RNAcentral lists this ribosomal RNA (253 nucleotides) under uncultured bacterium. RNAcentral describes it as "partial 16S ribosomal RNA". It matches the Rfam family "Bacterial small subunit ribosomal RNA", at positions 524 to 776 of the family's 1533-position model. The record is from RNAcentral.
UACAGAGGGGGCAAGCGUUGUUCGGAAUUACUGGGCGUAAAGGGCGCGUAGGCGGCCCGCUAAGUCGAACGUGAAAUCCCCGAGCUCAACUCGGGAACUGCGUCCGAUACUGGCGGGCUUGAAUCCGGGAGAGGGAUGCGGAAUUCCAGGUGUAGCGGUGAAAUGCGUAGAUAUCUGGAGGAACACCGGUGGCGGAGGCGGCAUCCUGGACCGGCAUUGACGCUGAGGCGCGAAAGCUAGGGGAGCAAACGGG